This 74-nucleotide transfer RNA is filed under the name Ipomoea nil (Japanese morning glory). It matches the Rfam family "tRNA". From Rfam's summary of the family: Transfer RNA (tRNA) molecules are approximately 80 nucleotides in length. Their secondary structure includes four short double-helical elements and three loops (D, anti-codon, and T loops). Further hydrogen bonds mediate the characteristic L-shaped molecular structure. tRNAs have two regions of fundamental functional importance: the anti-codon, which is responsible for specific mRNA codon recognition, and the 3' end, to which the tRNAs corresponding amino acid is attached (by aminoacyl-tRNA synthetases). tRNAs cope with the degeneracy of the genetic code in two manners: having more than one tRNA (with a specific anti-codon) for a particular amino acid; and 'wobble' base-pairing, i.e. permitting non-standard base-pairing at the 3rd anti-codon position. The record is from Rfam by way of RNAcentral. Lineage: Eukaryota; Viridiplantae; Streptophyta; Magnoliopsida; Solanales; Convolvulaceae.
GCUGGAGUAGCUCAGUUGGUUAGAGCGUGUGGUUGUUAACCACAAGGUCAAAUGUUUAAGCCCUUCCUUUAGCG